GACGAACGCUGGCGGCGUGCCUAAUACAUGCCAGUCGAACGCUGAAGGAGGAGCUUGCUUCUCCGGAUGAGUUGCGAACGGGUGAGUAACGCGUAGGUAACCUGCCUGGUAGCGGGGGAUAACUAUUGGAAACGAUAGCUAAUACCGCAUAAGAGUAGAUGUCGCAUGACAUUUGCUUAAAAGGUGCAACUGCACCACUACCAGAUGGACCUGCGUUGUAUUAGCUAGUUGGUGAGGUAACGGCUCACCAAGGCAACGAUACAUAGCCGACCUGAGAGGGUGAUCGGCCACACUGGGACUGAGACACGGCCCAGACUCCUACGGGAGGCAGCAGUAGGGAAUCUUCGGCAAUGGACGGAAGUCUGACCGAGCAACGCCGCGUGAGUGAAGAAGGGUUUCGGAUCGUAAAGCUCUGUUGUAAGAGAAGAACGAGUGUGAGAGUGGAAAGUUCACACUGUGACGGUAGCUUACCAGAAAGGGACGGCUAACUACGUG
Molecule: ribosomal RNA, 495 nt
Filed under: uncultured bacterium
Lineage: Bacteria
Description: partial 16S ribosomal RNA
Rfam family: Bacterial small subunit ribosomal RNA
Source: RNAcentral